GGAUCCUACGGGAGGCAGCAGUGAGGGAUAUUGGUCAAUGGCCGAAGGGCUGAACCAGCCAAGCCGCGUGAAGGAAUAAGGCCCUACAGGUCGUAAACUUCUUUAGCCAGGGAACAAAGGGAGCCACGCGUGGCGCUGUGAGUGUACCUGAAGAAUAAGCAUCGGCUAACCCCGUGCCAGCAGCCGCGGUAAUACGGAGGAUGCGAGCGUUAUCCGGAUUUAUUGGGUUUAAAGGGUGCGUAGGCGGU
RNAcentral lists this ribosomal RNA (248 nucleotides) under uncultured bacterium. RNAcentral describes it as "partial 16S ribosomal RNA". It matches the Rfam family "Bacterial small subunit ribosomal RNA", at positions 334 to 579 of the family's 1533-position model. The record is from RNAcentral.